This 258-nucleotide ribosomal RNA is filed under the name Acinetobacter baumannii. RNAcentral's name for it is "partial 23S ribosomal RNA". It matches the Rfam family "Bacterial large subunit ribosomal RNA", at positions 2041 to 2297 of the family's 2925-position model. Lineage: Bacteria; Pseudomonadati; Pseudomonadota; Gammaproteobacteria; Moraxellales; Moraxellaceae. The record is from RNAcentral.
AUUGUAGUGCAAGUGAAGAUGCUUGCUACCCGCGAUUGGACGGAAAGACCCCGUAGAGCUUUACUGCAAUUUAGCAUUGAGUUUCGGUAUUAUCUGUACAGGAUAGGUGGGAGACUGGGAAAUCACGGCGUCAGCUGUGGUGGAGUCGACCUUGGGAUACCACCCUGAUAGUACUGGAAUUCUAACCGGAGGCCAUGAAUCUGGUCACGGGACAUUGUUAGGUGGGCAGUUUGACUGGGGCGGUCGCCUCCUAAAAAG